Molecule: ribosomal RNA, 440 nt
Filed under: uncultured bacterium
Lineage: Bacteria
Description: partial 16S ribosomal RNA
Rfam family: Bacterial small subunit ribosomal RNA
Source: RNAcentral
CCUACGGGUGGCAGCAGUGGGGAAUAUUGCACAAUGGGGGGAACCCUGAUGCAGCGACGCCGCGUGAGUGAAGAAGGAUUGCGGUAGGUAAAGCUCUGUCAGCAGGGAAGAAGAAAGACGGGACCGGACCAAGAAGCCCCGGCUAACUCCGUGCCAGCAGCCGAGGUAAAACGGAGGGGGCAAGCGUUAUCCGGAUUUAUUGGGUUUAAAGGGUGCGGAGGAGGAUCGGGAAGGCAGUGGUCAAAUUGAGGGGCUCAACCCCUUCCCGCCCUUGAAACUGGCGUUCUUGCUUGGAAGAGACGUCUGCGGACUGCGUGGUGUAGCGGUGAAAUGCAUAGAUAUCACGCAGAACCCCGAUUGCGAAGGCAGCAUGCCGGCUUCCGACUGCCGCUCAUGCACGAAAUUGUGGGUAUCGAACAGGAUUAGAUACCCUUGUAGUC